RNAcentral lists this ribosomal RNA (128 nucleotides) under uncultured eukaryote. RNAcentral's name for it is "partial small subunit ribosomal RNA". It matches the Rfam family "Eukaryotic small subunit ribosomal RNA", at positions 1651 to 1782 of the family's 1831-position model. The record is from RNAcentral.
CCCUGCCAUUUGUACACACCGCCCGUCGUUGCUACCGAUUGGCUGUGGGAUAAAGCUUGGGGGAGGGAGAAAUCUCGGUUCGCCGGGUGCUUUUCCAAAUCCAAGCAAUAUUGCUCAGCUAGAGGAAG